RNAcentral lists this ribosomal RNA (803 nucleotides) under bacterium. RNAcentral's name for it is "bacterial SSU rRNA". It matches the Rfam family "Bacterial small subunit ribosomal RNA", at positions 31 to 825 of the family's 1533-position model. The record is from RNAcentral.
GACCAAUUGCCGUAGCUACCAUGCAGUCGAACGGCAGCACAGGAGAGCUUGCUCUCUGGGUGGCGAGUGGCGGACGGGUGAGGAAUACAUCGGAAUCUACUUUUUCGUGGGGGAUAACGUAGGGAAACUUACGCUAAUACCGCAUACGACCUACGGGUGAAAGCAGGGGAUCUUCGGACCUUGCGCGAUUGAAUGAGCCGAUGUCGGAUUAGCUAGUUGGCGGGGUAAAGGCCCACCAAGGCGACGAUCCGUAGCUGGUCUGAGAGGAUGAUCAGCCACACUGGAACUGAGACACGGUCCAGACUCCUACGGGAGGCAGCAGUGGGGAAUAUUGGACAAUGGGCGCAAGCCUGAUCCAGCCAUACCGCGUGGGUGAAGAAGGCCUUCGGGUUGUAAAGCCCUUUUGUUGGGAAAGAAAUCCAGCUGGUUAAUACCCGGUUGGGAUGACGGUACCCAAAGAAUAAGCACCGGCUAACUUCGUGCCAGCAGCCGCGGUAAUACGAAGGGUGCAAGCGUUACUCGGAAUUACUGGGCGUAAAGCGUGCGUAGGUGGUCGUUUAAGUCCGUUGUGAAAGCCCUGGGCUCAACCUGGGAACUGCAGUGGAUACUGGGCGACUAGAGUGUGGUAGAGGGUAGCGGAAUUCCUGGUGUAGCAGUGAAAAUGCGUAGAGAUCAGGAGGAACAUCCAUGGCGAAGGCAGCUACCUGGACCAACACUGACACUGAGGCACGAAAGCGUGGGGAGCAAACAGGAUUAUAUACCCUGGUAGUCCACGCCCCUAAACCAUGCGAAACUGGAUGUUG